Molecule: ribosomal RNA, 1242 nt
Filed under: metagenome
Description: bacterial LSU rRNA
Rfam family: Bacterial large subunit ribosomal RNA
Source: RNAcentral
UGAAUCCGAGGAGCUACGGCUCUUAAGUGAUACGAGUCAGACUUCCCAGAAAAGCCCGAACCACGUUAAUCUCUAAUUACCUGUACCCGAAACCGACACAGGUGGGUAGGUAGAGUAUACUAAGGGGCGCGAGAUAACUCUCUCUAAGGAACUCGGCAAAAUGACUCCGUAACUUCGGGAGAAGGAGUGCCUUAUUUAUAAGGUUGCAAUAACAAGAUCCAAGCAACUGUUUAUCAAAAACACAGGUCUCCGCUAAGUCGUAAGACGAUGUAUGGGGGCUGACGCCUGCCCAGUGCCAGAAGGUUAAAGAAGUUGGUUAGUGUAUGCGAAGCUGAUGACUGAAGCCCUGGUGAACGGCGGCCGUAACUAUAACGGUCCUAAGGUAGCGAAAUUCCUUGUCGGGUAAGUUCCGACCCGCACGAAAGGCGUAAUGAUUUGGAUACUGUCUCGGAGAGAGGCUCGGUGAAAUAGACUUGUCUGUGAAGAUGCGGACUACCUGCACCAGGACAGAAAGACCCUAUGAAGCUUUACUGUAACUUGAAAUUGGAAUUGGACUUUGCUUGCGCAGUAUAGGUGGGAAGCGUUGAAGAUAUUCUUGCGGGAGUAUUGGAGCUAUCAGUGAGAUACCACUCUUGUAAUGUUAGAUUUCUAACUUUGAACCAUAAUCUGGUCAAAGAACAGUUUCAGGUGGGCAGUUUGACUGGGGCGGUCGCCUCCCAAAUGGUAACGGAGGCGUACAAAGGUUUCCUCUGAACGGAUAGAAAUCGUAUCUAGAGUGUAAAGGCAUAAGGAAGCUUGACUGUGAGACCUACAAGUCGAGCAGGGACGAAAGUCGGUCUUAGUGAUCUGACGGUACUGAGUGGAAAGGCCGUCACUCAACGGAUAAAAGUUACUCUAGGAUAACAGGCUGAUCUCCCCCAAGAGUUCACAUCGACGGGGAGGUUUGGCACCUCGAUGUCGGCUCAUCGCAUCCUGGGGCGGUAGUACGUCCCAAGGGUUGGGCUGUUCGCCCAUGAAAGCGGUACGCGAGCUGGGUUCAGAACGUCGUGAGACAGUUCGGUCCAUAUCCGGUGUAGGCGUUAGAAUAUUGAGAGGAGCCUUCUUUAGUACGAGAGGACCGAGAAGGACACACCGCUGGUGUACCAGUUAUCGUGCCAACGGUAAACGCUGGGUAGCUAUGUGUGGAGUGGAUAACCGCUGAAAGCAUCUAAGUGGGAAGCCCACCUCAAGAUGAGUAUUCUC